Molecule: ribosomal RNA, 413 nt
Filed under: uncultured bacterium
Lineage: Bacteria
Description: bacterial SSU rRNA
Rfam family: Bacterial small subunit ribosomal RNA
Source: RNAcentral
GUGUCAGCCGCCGCGGUAAUACGUAGGGUGCGAGCGUUAAUCGGAAUUACUGGGCGUAAAGCGUGCGCAGGUGGUUUUGUAAGUCAGAUGUGAAAUCCCCGGGCUCAACCUGGGAACUGCAUUUGAGACUGCAAGGCUAGAGUGUAGCAGAGGGGGGUAGAAUUCCACGUGUAGCAGUGAAAUGCGUAGAGAUGUGGAGGAAUACCGAUGGCGAAGGCAGCCCCCUGGGCUACUACUGACACUCAUGCACGAAAGCGUGGGGAGCAAACAGGAUUAGAUACCCUGGUAGUCCAUGCCCUAAACGAUGUCAACUAGGUGUUGGAAGGGUUAAACCUUUUAGUGCCGCAGCUAACGCGUGAAGUUGACCGCCUGGGGAGUACGGCCGCAAGGCUAAAACUCAAAGGAAUUGACGG